AUACUUACCUGGCAGGAAAGAAACCAUGAUCAUGCAGUGGUUUUUCUAUGGCAAGGCUUAUGCAUUGCACUAUGGAUGUGCUGACCCCUGCAAUUUUCCCAAAUGUGGGAAACUCGACUGAAUAAUUUGUGGUAGUAUAGGACGGCGUUCAUACUCUCCUCUG
Molossus molossus (Pallas's mastiff bat) is the source of this 163-nucleotide small nuclear RNA. RefSeq annotates it as U1 spliceosomal RNA. The record is from RefSeq and is a predicted model, not a curated record. NCBI's taxonomy places the organism in Eukaryota, Metazoa, Chordata, Mammalia, Chiroptera, Molossidae. The transcript has a single exon.